GGAAUCUUCCACAAUGGACGAAAGUCUGAUGGAGCAACGCCGCGUGAGCGAUGAAGGCCUUCGGGUCGUAAUGCUCUGUUGUUAGGGAAGAACAAGUGCGAGAGUAACUGCUCGCACCUUGACGGUACCUAACCAGAAAGCCACGGCUAACUACGUGCCAGCAGCCGCGGUAAUACUUAGGUGGCAAGCGUUGUCCGGAAUUAUUGGGCGUAAAGCGCGCGCAGGUGGUCCUUUAAGUCUGAUGUGAAAGCCCACGGCUCAACCGUGGAGGGUCAUUGGAAACUGGGGGACUUGAGUGCAGAAGAGGAAAGUGGAAUUCCAAGUGUAGCGGUGAAAUGCGUAGAGAUUUGGAGGAACACCAGUGGCGAAGGCGACUUUCUGGUCUGUAACUGACACUGAGGCGCGAAAGCGUGGGGAGCAAACA
Molecule: ribosomal RNA, 424 nt
Filed under: uncultured bacterium
Lineage: Bacteria
Description: bacterial SSU rRNA
Rfam family: Bacterial small subunit ribosomal RNA
Source: RNAcentral